This 372-nucleotide ribosomal RNA is filed under the name uncultured organism. RNAcentral describes it as "bacterial SSU rRNA". It matches the Rfam family "Bacterial small subunit ribosomal RNA", at positions 526 to 896 of the family's 1533-position model. The record is from RNAcentral.
CGUAGGUGGCAAGCGUUGUCCGGAGUUACUGGGUGUAAAGGGCGUGCAGGCGGGAAGAUAAGUCAGAUGUGAAAUUCCAUGGCUCAACUGUGGCGCUGCAUCUGAAACUAUUUUUCUUGAGUGAUGGAGAGGAAAGUGGAAUUCCUAGUGUAGCGGUGAAAUGCGUAGAUAUUAGGAGGAACACCAGUGGCGAAGGCGACUUUCUGGACAUUAACUGACGCUGAGGCGCGAAAGCGUGGGGAGCAAACAGGAUUAGAUACCCUGGUAGUCCACGCUGUAAACGAUGGAUACUAGGUGUAGGAGGUAUCGACCCCUUCUGUGCCGGAGUUAACACAAUAAGUAUCCCACCUGGGGAGUACGGCCGCAAGGUUG